CACAUUUCUCACGCUCUCUCUCCGCCGCGCGUCUCCGCGCGCACGCAUGCGUCAAACCGGCAGCCCGCCACGAGGAGAUUUACAUCCUAUGUUUCUUCAGAUGCCACUGAAAUUAUUGUCAAAAAUAAAAAAAAGGAGCAUUUUUUUGGUGGGGGAAAUACCCCUCACCCCUCCCGACCUGCAGAACAAGAGGACGCCCCCGACUCUUUCCCAACACGAGCGCCGUCUGGAUUCCUGCAAUCCGCAGACCGCGAUUUUCGUCAGCAUCCACGAGUAGCAGAUGGGACACUUCAACAAGAGCCCUGAGGGUACCCAUCACUUCCUGAUGUCCAGCAAUCAACACUCUGAGACAUCAACUCUAUCAACUCUAGUACUUCUAGAUCUCUCUUUGUGUUGUCAUUCAUGGGUUGGAGAAAGAAGUUCAUACGGGACAUUGUCUGCUUUAGUUUUUUCGCUCAACUUGAAUUAUUUUUUAUCCUUGCUUGCACACCUUGGGUGCAGCUCCUAUCACCAACUUCCAAUGGAAUCAUCCAAAGCAAACUAUGGACAUCAAACUGUUUGCAAGAACAACACCGUGCUUGGGAGAAGGCGCUCUAUGAUUACUGUGCCCAGGAACAUACCUGUAGCUCUGUCUUCCUCCUCUCUAACCGAGAGGAAGUUAAUACUGAAGACAUAGAGGUCAACAGAUUUGUGGGUGAAUAAAGAGUUAUGAAAAGAGUUGUCAAAUCCAGAGAUGGGAUAAUCUUUUAAGAUAAUUUAAGAUCUAUAUAGUCUACAUUAUUAUUGUAUUAAUCAGUGUAAAGCCUUUGGAAGCAUGAGGUAAUUAAACAAAUGCUGUCAUAGCUGAUGAAAUGACGAUGUACACAAUUGAACUCAUACAACAGCCGGCUCUCAACUGUGAUGUUAUUCAAUCUUAUGCUACAUUCUGUAUUUGGAGCUAUUCUGAAAUGUAAUAACAGCUGUUCCUUUAAAGUAUUAUGACACAUUUAUACCCACUCAUUAACUCUCAUUAUGGCC
Gasterosteus aculeatus aculeatus (three-spined stickleback) is the source of this 1017-nucleotide long non-coding RNA. The record is from Ensembl. NCBI's taxonomy places the organism in Eukaryota, Metazoa, Chordata, Actinopteri, Perciformes, Gasterosteidae.